AGACUCCUACGGGAGGCAGCAGUGGGGAAUUUUGCGCAAUGGGGGCAAUCCUGACGCAGCGACGCCGCGUGGGUGAUGAAGGCCUUCGGGUUGUAAAGCCCUGUUGGGGGGGAAGAUAAUGACGGUACCCCCUGAGGAAGCCCCGGCUAACUACGUGCCAGCAGCCGCGGUAAGACGUAGGGGGCGAGCGUUGUCCGGAAUUACUGGGCGUAAAGGGCGUGUAGGCGGCCUUUCAAGUCGGCUGUGAAAUACCCCGGCUCAACCGGGGGGGUGCAGUCGAAACUGGGGGGCUUGAGUGCAGGAGAGGGGGGUGGAAUUCCCGGUGGAGCGGUGAUAUGCGUAGAUAUCGGGAGGAACACCGGUGGCGAAGGCGACCUUCUGGCCUGUUACUGACGCUGAGGCGCGAAAGCCGGGGGAGCAAACAGGAUUAGAUACCCUGGUAGUC
RNAcentral lists this ribosomal RNA (445 nucleotides) under uncultured prokaryote. RNAcentral's name for it is "partial 16S ribosomal RNA". It matches the Rfam family "Bacterial small subunit ribosomal RNA", at positions 333 to 795 of the family's 1533-position model. The record is from RNAcentral.